This 2805-nucleotide ribosomal RNA is filed under the name Salmonella enterica subsp. enterica serovar Enteritidis. RNAcentral's name for it is "partial 23S ribosomal RNA". It matches the Rfam family "Bacterial large subunit ribosomal RNA". The record is from RNAcentral. Lineage: Bacteria; Pseudomonadati; Pseudomonadota; Gammaproteobacteria; Enterobacterales; Enterobacteriaceae.
UAAUCUGCGAUAAGCGCCGGUAAGGUGAUAUGAACCGUUAUAACCGGCGAUACCCGAAUGGGGAAACCCAGUGUGAUUCGUCACACUAUCAUUAACUGAAUCCAUAGGUUAAUGAGGCGAACCGGGGGAACUGAAACAUCUAAGUACCCCGAGGAAAAGAAAUCAACCGAGAUUCCCCCAGUAGCGGCGAGCGAACGGGGAGGAGCCCAGAGCCUGAAUCAGCAUGUGUGUUAGUGGAAGCGUCUGGAAAGGCGCGCGAUACAGGGUGACAGCCCCGUACACAAAAGCGCAUGUGCUGUGAGCUCGAUGAGUAGGGCGGGACACGUGGUAUCCUGUCUGAAUAUGGGGGGACCAUCCUCCAAGGCUAAAUACUCCUGACUGACCGAUAGUGAACCAGUACCGUGAGGGAAAGGCGAAAAGAACCCCGGCGAGGGGAGUGAAAAAGAACCUGAAACCGUGUACGUACAAGCAGUGGGAGCACCCUUUGGGUGUGACUGCGUACCUUUUGUAUAAUGGGUCAGCGACUUAUAUUCUGUAGCAAGGUUAACCGAAUAGGGGAGCCGGAGGGAAACCGAGUCUUAACCGGGCGUUAAGUUGCAGGGUAUAGACCCGAAACCCGGUGAUCUAGCCAUGGGCAGGUUGAAGGUUGGGUAACACUAACUGGAGGACCGAACCGACUAAUGUUGAAAAAUUAGCGGAUGACCUGUGGCUGGGGGUGAAAGGCCAAUCAAACCGGGAGAUAGCUGGUUCUCCCCGAAAGCUAUUUAGGUAGCGCCUCGUGAAUUCAUCUCCGGGGGUAGAGCACUGUUUCGGCUAGGGGGCCAUCCCGGCUUACCAACCCGAUGCAAACUGCGAAUACCGGAGAAUGUUAUCACGGGAGACACACGGCGGGUGCUAACGUCCGUCGUGAAGAGGGAAACAACCCAGACCGCCAGCUAAGGUCCCAAAGUCAUGGUUAAGUGGGAAACGAUGUGGGAAGGCCCAGACAGCCAGGAUGUUGGCUUAGAAGCAGCCAUCAUUUAAAGAAAGCGUAAUAGCUCACUGGUCGAGUCGGCCUGCGCGGAAGAUGUAACGGGGCUAAACCAUGCACCGAAGCUGCGGCAGCGACACUGUGUGUUGUUGGGUAGGGGAGCGUUCUGUAAGCCUGUGAAGGUGUGUCGUGAGGCAUGCUGGAGGUAUCAGAAGUGCGAAUGCUGACAUAAGUAACGAUAAAGCGGGUGAAAAGCCCGCUCGCCGGAAGACCAAGGGUUCCUGUCCAACGUUAAUCGGGGCAGGGUGAGUCGACCCCUAAGGCGAGGCCGAAAGGCGUAGUCGAUGGGAAACGGGUUAAUAUUCCCGUACUUGGUGUUACUGCGAAGGGGGGACGGAGAAGGCUAUGUUGGCCGGGCGACGGUUGUCCCGGUUUAAGCGUGUAGGUGUGUGUUCCAGGUAAAUCCGGUUCACUUUAACACUGAGGCGUGACGACGAGGCACUACGGUGCUGAAGCAACAAAUGCCCUGCUUCCAGGAAAAGCCUCUAAGCAUCAGGUAACAUCAAAUCGUACCCCAAACCGACACAGGUGGUCAGGUAGAGAAUACCAAGGCGCUUGAGAGAACUCGGGUGAAGGAACUAGGCAAAAUGGUGCCGUAACUUCGGGAGAAGGCACGCUGACACGUAGGUGAAGUGAUUUACUCAUGGAGCUGAAGUCAGUCGAAGAUACCAGCUGGCUGCAACUGUUUAUUAAAAACACAGCACUGUGCAAACACGAAAGUGGACGUAUACGGUGUGACGCCUGCCCGGUGCCGGAAGGUUAAUUGAUGGGGUCAGCGCAAGCGAAGCUCCUGAUCGAAGCCCCGGUAAACGGCGGCCGUAACUAUAACGGUCCUAAGGUAGCGAAAUUCCUUGUCGGGUAAGUUCCGACCUGCACGAAUGGCGUAAUGAUGGCCAGGCUGUCUCCACCCGAGACUCAGUGAAAUUGAACUCGCUGUGAAGAUGCAGUGUACCCGCGGCAAGACGGAAAGACCCCGUGAACCUUUACUAUAGCUUGACACUGAACAUUGAGCCUUGAUGUGUAGGAUAGGUGGGAGGCUUUGAAGUGUGGACGCCAGUCUGCAUGGAGCCGACCUUGAAAUACCACCCUUUAAUGUUUGAUGUUCUAACGUGGACCCGUUACCCGGGUUGCGGACAGUGUCUGGUGGGUAGUUUGACUGGGGCGGUCUCCUCCUAAAGAGUAACGGAGGAGCACGAAGGUUGGCUAAUCCUGGUCGGACAUCAGGAGGUUAGUGCAAUGGCAUAAGCCAGCUUGACUGCGAGCGUGACGGCGCGAGCAGGUGCGAAAGCAGGUCAUAGUGAUCCGGUGGUUCUGAAUGGAAGGGCCAUCGCUCAACGGAUAAAAGGUACUCCGGGGAUAACAGGCUGAUACCGCCCAAGAGUUCAUAUCGACGGCGGUGUUUGGCACCUCGAUGUCGGCUCAUCACAUCCUGGGGCUGAAGUAGGUCCCAAGGGUAUGGCUGUUCGCCAUUUAAAGUGGUACGCGAGCUGGGUUUAGAACGUCGUGAGACAGUUCGGUCCCUAUCUGCCGUGGGCGCUGGAGAACUGAGGGGGGCUGCUCCUAGUACGAGAGGACCGGAGUGGACGCAUCACUGGUGUUCGGGUUGUCAUGCCAAUGGCACUGCCCGGUAGCUAAAUGCGGAAGAGAUAAGUGCUGAAAGCAUCUAAGCACGAAACUUGCCCCGAGAUGAGUUCUCCCUGAGACUUAAAGUCUCCUGAAGGAACGUUGAAGACGACGACGUUGAUAGGCCGGGUGUGUAAGCGCAGCGAUGCGUU